RNAcentral lists this long non-coding RNA (218 nucleotides) under Mus musculus (house mouse). RNAcentral describes it as "long non-coding RNA chrX:106755332-106755550". Lineage: Eukaryota; Metazoa; Chordata; Mammalia; Rodentia; Muridae. The record is from RNAcentral.
AUGAAGCAAGCAAGGGAUUGCUUACACCUGAGAAGAACUAUUGAACAACACUUCUGAGGUAGAAGUCCAGGUCAAGUUUCGAAGGACAGUCAUAUUGAGCCACCAGGAAUGUCAUUUCUCCCCUAUGAUGUUCUCAGCAGCAGCAGGAACUUCCUGUGCAGGAUUUCCAGGCAGAACUGAAACAGGCAUUCUUAGCUGACACACCAAGAGGUGGUUAA